This 407-nucleotide ribosomal RNA is filed under the name uncultured bacterium. RNAcentral describes it as "partial 16S ribosomal RNA". It matches the Rfam family "Bacterial small subunit ribosomal RNA", at positions 30 to 526 of the family's 1533-position model. The record is from RNAcentral.
AUUGAACGCUAGCGGCAUGCCUUACACAUGCAAGUCGAACGGAGUGGCGAACGGGCGGGUGAUGUCUCUGUACGUGCCCACUCGCGGGGGAUAACUACGCGCUAGCGUCGCUAAUUCCGCAUACUCUUGGCGCGGCCGACAUCGGAUUAGCUAGUUGGUGGGUUAACGGCUCACCUAGGCGACGAUCCGUAGCUGGUUUGAGAGGAUGAACAGCCACACUGGGACUGAGACACGGCCCAGACUCCUACGGGAGGCAGCAGUGGGGAAUUUUGGACAAUGGGGGAAAGCCUGAGCCAGCCAUGCCGCGUGUGCGAAGAAGGCCUUCGGGUUGUAAAGCACUUUUGGUAGGAAAGCGGUACCGACAGAAGAAGCACCGGCUAACUCCGUGCCAGCAGCCGCGGUAAUAC